AUGAAAAUUCUUCAGGAUUUGGUUCCUGGAUGUAAUAAGGUAGUAUUUCCUACAGAAUGAAGUAUAGGGAAUUGAAGAUGAAUUUGGUAUCUUUGGUACUACUUCUGAUUACUAGACAACUCUAAAAACAUCUCAGUAAAUUAUCUAGGGCUCUGUAUUCUGAGUUUAAUUUUGUUUCACUUAGUAUGUUUCCUUACAUAUCCUGGUGUACUUUUUUUUCUGAGAAGGUUAUUGGGAAAGCACUUGUUGUUGAU
RNAcentral lists this long non-coding RNA (254 nucleotides) under Rosa chinensis. Its description in RNAcentral is "sRNA RchiOBHm_Chr5g0064641". The record is from RNAcentral. Lineage: Eukaryota; Viridiplantae; Streptophyta; Magnoliopsida; Rosales; Rosaceae.